UAAUGCCUAUGAAUCUGCCUGGUAUUGGGGGACAACGUUUCGAAAGGAACGCUAAUACCGCAUACGUCCUACGGGAGAAAGCAGGGGACCUUCGGGCCUUGCGCUAUCAGAUGAGCCUAGGUCGGAUUAACUAGUUGGUGAGGUAAAGGCUCACCAAGGCGACGAUCCGUAACUGGUCUGAGAGGAUGAUCAGUCACACUGGAACUGAGACACGGUCCAGACUCCUACGGGAGGCAGCAGUGGGGAAUAUUGGACAAUGGGCGAAAGCCUGAUCCAGCCAUGCCGCGUGUGUGAAGAAGGUCUUCGGAUUGUAAAGCACUUUAAGUUGGGAGGAAGGGCAGUAAGUUAAUACCUUGCUGUUUUGACGUUACCGACAGAAUAAGCACCGGCUAACUUCGUGCCAGCAGCCGCGGUAAUACGAAGGGUGCAAGCGUUAAUCGGAAUUACUGGGCGUAAAGCGCGCGUAUGUGGUUCGUUAAGUUGGAUGUGAAAGCCCCGGGCUCAACCUGGGAACUGCAUCCAAAACUGGCGAGCUAGAGUAUGGCACAGGGUGGUGGAAUUUCCUGUGUAGCGGUGAAAUGCGUACAUAUAGGAAGGAACACCAGUGGCGAAGGCGACCACCUGGACUAAUACUGACACUGAGGUGCGAAAGCGUGA
RNAcentral lists this ribosomal RNA (657 nucleotides) under Pseudomonas sp. Its description in RNAcentral is "bacterial SSU rRNA". It matches the Rfam family "Bacterial small subunit ribosomal RNA", at positions 111 to 764 of the family's 1533-position model. The record is from RNAcentral. Lineage: Bacteria; Pseudomonadati; Pseudomonadota; Gammaproteobacteria; Pseudomonadales; Pseudomonadaceae.